GGUUAUAUUUAAAAUUAAAUUUGUAUCUCUUUAAUAAUAUUAUUAUUAUUUGUAUAUCACUGUAGAAUCUACAAAAUUAUUUUACAAAGAUAAAUUACAAAUAUUUCUAUAUUUAAAGUAUAUGUCAACACAUAUAAAAUUAAAUAUUUUUUUUUGAUAUUUUAAAUUAUGAUAAAUACAAUAUGUUUUAAUAACAUCAAAAUAAAUAGCCAAAAAACAAAUAUUACAUUAAACAAAUUUUAUAAAAAUAAAAAAUUGAAAUUAAAAGAAGAUAGAAACAUAUGAUUUAUAAAAAGAUCAAUUGGUGUCUAUUUUUAGUAGAGUAAUCAUUGUUGGCAAAAAAGGAAAAAAGAAAAAAAAAAGAAAAAAGAAAAGGAAAAAGGAGUUGUUCAUUUAAUAAAACUAAAAUAUCAACAUAUGAUUUAUAACAUUUGACAAUAUUUCUUUUGAGUUCUGCUUUUUGAUCCAAUAGAACGCUUGAUAAAUUUAACCCACUUAUUGAUAGCUGAAUUUUUUAAUCAUUAAUCACACUGCAAAUGCACAAUAAAUCAUAGUAGUAUAUAAGGGAUCAGAUCUACAUAGACCAAGGUUGCACAACAAGUCUCCGAGAAUAGAGUCAAGCUAAGGCGGAAAUAUUGGUAUUUGUUUUCCUAAGGCUAAGAAGAAGUAAAUAUGCAGUAUGUACAAUGUAAUAAAAGCUAAAACUUAUACAC
RNAcentral lists this long non-coding RNA (713 nucleotides) under Brassica rapa (field mustard). RNAcentral's name for it is "long non-coding RNA (BRAP_LNC006400)". The record is from RNAcentral. Lineage: Eukaryota; Viridiplantae; Streptophyta; Magnoliopsida; Brassicales; Brassicaceae.